CAACCCUCAAGCCUGGCUUGGUGUUGGGGCACUACCUUUAAAACGGUAAGCCCUGAAAUUUAGUGGCGAGCUCGCUAAGACUCUGAGCGUAGUAGUUUUUUUCUUCAACGUCGCUUUGGAAGGAUUAGCGGUUGCUUCUGCCGUAAAACCCCCCCCAUAUUCUGAAAAU
Molecule: unclassified non-coding RNA, 169 nt
Filed under: uncultured Endothiella
Lineage: Eukaryota; Fungi; Ascomycota; Sordariomycetes; Diaporthales; Cytosporaceae
Description: sequence contains ITS2
Source: RNAcentral